GAUGAACGCUGGCGGCGUGCCUAAUACAUGCAAGUCGAGCGAACAGACGAGGAGCUUGCUCCUCUGACGUUAGCGGCGGACGGGUGAGUAACACGUGGAUAACCUACCUAUAAGACUGGGAUAACUUCGGGAAACCGGAGCUAAUACCGGAUAAUAUAUUGAACCGCAUGGUUCAAUAGUGAAAGACGGUUUUGCUGUCACUUAUAGAUGGAUCCGCGCCGCAUUGGCUAGUUGGUAAGGUAACGGCUUACCAAGGCAACGAUGCGUAGCCGACCUGAGAGGGUGAUCGGCCACACUGGAACUGAGACACGGUCCAGACUCCUACGGGAGGCAGCAGUAGGGAAUCUUCCGCAAUGGGCGAAAGCUUGACGGAGCAACGUCGCGUGAGUGAUGAAGGUCUUCGGAUCGUAAAACUCUGUUAUUAGGGAAGAACAAAUGUGUAAGUAACUAUGCACGUCUUGACGGUACCUAAUCAGAAAGCCACGGCUAACUACGUG
This 497-nucleotide ribosomal RNA is filed under the name uncultured bacterium. RNAcentral describes it as "partial 16S ribosomal RNA". It matches the Rfam family "Bacterial small subunit ribosomal RNA", at positions 28 to 507 of the family's 1533-position model. The record is from RNAcentral.